Molecule: non-coding RNA, 27 nt
Filed under: Mus musculus (house mouse)
Lineage: Eukaryota; Metazoa; Chordata; Mammalia; Rodentia; Muridae
Source: RNAcentral
UAGAGAAACCAUGUCUACAGGGCAACC